Thunnus maccoyii (southern bluefin tuna) is the source of this 593-nucleotide long non-coding RNA. RefSeq lists it as uncharacterized. Lineage: Eukaryota; Metazoa; Chordata; Actinopteri; Scombriformes; Scombridae. The record is from RefSeq and is a predicted model, not a curated record. The transcript has 3 exons.
CUUAAGUCAUGAGAACCACAUGCGCUGACCAUGAGCUGAUCUGACCAAUCUGAAAUCAUGUUUGACACCUCAACAUGGCAUUCUCUUCUUUAGUGAGUUGACUGUUUGUGUCUCAUAACCAUCUGGAACAGUUACAAGAUCUGAGGGUGGACAGACACGUGGCAAAGAAACAAGGAAGAAAUCAAGAUUGGAUGUGAAGCAUGAAAAUAUCCUUUUAGGAUGCUGCGGAAAAGAGGAGAUGAAAGGAAAGGGGGAAGCGAAUAAAGGAGAGGAAGGGAUAAGAGAGGAAAAAAGUGAUAGAGCGAAGAAGAAGGCAGAGAAGGUCAGGAGAGGACAACCAGAAGAGUAUGGGAAUGAAAUAGGAAGGGAAGAAGGGGGAGACAAAGGGGGAAUAAUCACAUAAGACAAGUUGAGAGGUGAAGAGAAGAGUGAGAAGAGUGUAAAUGUUUGCUUUAUAUCAACAGCAGCUCUUAUCUAAUGCUCUGCAAAUACACAAACACUCACAUUUUCUCUCUUUAGUGUUAGAUAAUACAACUGAAUAAUCAGCAGGUAUCUGCCUCCUCUCACUGGCCUCUGGAUGAGAAUAAAACAAC